Long non-coding RNA from Otolemur garnettii (small-eared galago), 412 nucleotides. RefSeq lists it as uncharacterized. Lineage: Eukaryota; Metazoa; Chordata; Mammalia; Primates; Galagidae. The record is from RefSeq and is a predicted model, not a curated record. The transcript is spliced from 3 exons.
UUAAAACCAGUUACGUUACUUUUUGUUAUAAGGCGCAGAGGCAGGUUUUCCUCGGAUAUGCAUCACACUCCCUUACGUCCUCGGCUUCUCCUCCCUGCUGCCCCAGGACGAGCUCCAUGAAGGCAGCAUCUGUGACUGCCAUCCCCGCCUGGCUCCACGCCCAGAACCUGACAUGUACAUUUAACACCGACAGCUGAGUCUCACCUUCCACCCAAGACAACUAAUCUGCCAGCCUGCAGGAAGCGAUUGUGCACACAGCAGCCCCUGGUGGUGUGGAGUGUGAGAGAGCUUGUUCAAAAGAGCCUGGCACCUCCCUCCUCUCUCACUGCCGCAUCUCUGCACCUGUAAGACCCCCCUUCCUCCACGAGUGGAAACAGCUCGAGGCCCUCACCAGACGCUGGCAACUGCUUCU